This is a long non-coding RNA of Sorghum bicolor (sorghum), 2989 nucleotides long. RefSeq lists it as uncharacterized. Lineage: Eukaryota; Viridiplantae; Streptophyta; Magnoliopsida; Poales; Poaceae. The record is from RefSeq and is a predicted model, not a curated record. The transcript has 4 exons.
UCGCAACUGUGCCCGGCUGGUCCGCGCGUUGAGGAGCCGGCUCUUUAACCUGGUUAUCUCACUGUUCGGUAAGCGGUGUGGUGCUAAUGUGGUAGCAAACUCUGCACUCGAGUGUUUGUUGCUUUGUUUUUGCUGCUCGGCUGCUCCGUAACGUCAUAAAGCCCAUCUUAAUAUGGGCCCGGUUCGCCUCCUGCACGACCCAUCACAGUCCACCACCACUCCACGACCACGAGCGAGCACCCAGCGCACCGCUGCUCGCGUCGGCCGCCCUCCGCAUGCUUUUUGCUUCCCCGUCUCCGGCGACUCUGAUCCCUCUCCUCUUCCAGUGCUCGAUCGCGCACCAGGUUCCAUACCACCGACUCAGUAAUGUUCGUACCAACCCGGACGCAGCGACCUAGCUAGCCGCCCUCUCGCUGCAGCUCCGUGCCGCGGAGGCUCGCGACGCGUUCGACGGAAUGCCGCACGAGCCAUGGGACCGUCGCCCCAGUGGUGACGGGUCCUCAUUCUUGCCGUGCCGUGUUCCUGCCUCGCUCAGGCCCUUCAAUUCAUCGGUGACGCUCGUCCGCUUUACGGUCUUUUGCGACGGCUUGUGGCCUCGUCAUUGUCGCCGUCUGCCGGUCGAAGCACUUGUCAUGGCCAUGCGUGCGGAGGGGAGCCCGCGCGGGAGCGGAUAUACGGCCCAGGAAUUGAUUGAUUGAUUCAGAUUCAAGUUGUGGGAGUCAACAAUUGGUAGAGUGUGAAUGUGUGAUGGAUAUCUAGUUCAUGGGCAGGCAGUGUGAUAGUGCGGAUGAGAAAAGGUGCGCGCCAGAGCCCUGAGAAGAGGAGCAAACAUUAAACAUGUGUCGAGGGAUAAAGGUAAUAAUGUACUGGACAAGUCUGAUCUCCAAUGCACAUUGAUCCCAAUGUACGCCGAAGAUUCUCAAUCAUACACUUACUGAAAACAAUGUAGUAUGCCUUAUUUUGUUCCAAGACACGUUAUCGUUACAUUCUUUUCAACUCUGUUUGACUGAAGAAGUUUGGCCAUCUUUGUCUUGGCAGAGAAAAUUGCAGAAAAGAUUUGUGAAUCCAUAGCAGCCAGAGUUCAGGGGGAGAUUUGAGAUCCUCCACAAGAACUCUAAAAAUGGUUUUUCUGCUGGAAGUUCAACACCUCAAGUCCUUAACACAACACAUAGCUUCACAACACUCUGCUCUUGAUGAUUACUUCAGGUGUCAAUCUUGGCCGAUGCCGAUCUCUCCAACUCCCUUUGGAGUGAAGGAAGCCAUAUGCCAUUGUUUUAGCUGGAGUACGUGGAGCAACAAAAUCUGCAUGUUUUUGCAAAAGGUAUAUUUAAGACGGUCGGCAAUUAAGUCAUUGCUUAUGCACAUCCCAAUAGUUUGUCGGCUGAGCGAAAAGUGAGCUUGAAUUUUUCACUACAAUUGGAUUCGAGUUUUGUAAUGCAGCUAUCAACUGAACUGACCAAGGGAAAAAGAAGGGCGCAAAGGCUGGCCGAUGCAUGGUGUGGUGUGAUGACCCCAUGCAUCAACCUUGUAGUUGGCACCGAAUCCCACUCUCCGAGGCAGCUUCACCAUGACACCAUCCAUCCAUCCAUCCAUCGAUCUCUUUGGUAUGCCCCGCUUCAUCUCCCACCGCUUUCCUUUUCCUUUUGGUUUGUUUUUUGGUUCUCAAAAGUUGCGUGUCUUUAGCUCUUUCCAAGGGAGGGUACUUCCAUCCAGCCUCCCCCCAGCACCCUGCUACCACUACUCACUCUCCCACUGGUCACUGCCUGCAUUUCCAUCCAAGGAUGAGUGAUAUCUGUAAUAACCCGUAUGAACGGGACCUGGCCAAUCUGGUCCAGUGGCUUCCGAUUCCCGGGCUCUUGAACCUUCAAAUCAUGCUAACCAUUAACAAUGCAGGCCCUCCUCCCUUUUGCGAUCGAUUCGAUUUUCUUCGUAGCGCUUUUACAGGGGGUGGCAGUGUGAACACGAGCCGCGACUAAGCGUUGGUGAUGUUGGAGGUGGGGGAAUAAAGCGUGCGCUUGUCAUGUUGGCCUCUUUACGAUUGCAAGUCUACGGUGCGAAUAAUCUGCUGUUGCUGUAGCCUAAUUUUGUAUUAUUAUUAUUAUUAUUAUUAUUACCCGGCAAUUUUCUGUGGCUGAGGAAUGGUUUUGAUUCACUGAAUACCUCGUCCCCUUAAUUCCCAAUCGUACGUGCAUAUGCUGUGUACUUCUUCAGGAAAGUCCAUUUCUGAAUUUUAGAUUUUUGUAUUGCCCAGCUCACUCGCUAUGAGAUUGGAUGAACUGUGGUGGUGGUGGUGUGGUACCCAUUUUUUUCUUCUGAACUAUAAUUAACAGCUUGCCGGUAUGCUCCUCUAUGACUGUCUUGCAGGUUUACUUGCCGGUAUGCUCCUGUCUUGCAGGGGGGGUCAGAGGACCGCGGGCGCGGUGGCGGUGCCGACCGCCGAGGCAGAGGGGAACCAUGCUGUGGGCUGUGGCGUGUGCGGUCGUGAGCGGAAUGGCAGUUUGGCCGGGCACUGGGAGAGGGCAUGGCCGAGACGGGGGCGGUUGGCGGUUUUGUUGGAGUUGGAGGCGUGCAGCCGAUGAGAUGAUGGCCUCGCCGUCCCGUGUGUCACGGCUACUUGUGCUUCUUGUGCAGCACCGGCCCGCCCGCCAGGCGCCAGCCAUACGCCCGUUCUGUGAAGCCAGUCCACUGCUCCACUCCCAGGGAAAAGCAACACCCAACACAACACCACCAUGGGCCACUCUGCCUGCUGCUCAGUCUGCUCAUGAUGUGCCUGUCCCUCUGAUAACAUCACAAGUCCAGUCUCUCUCAUCAGUCGGUCCGGUCCAGUCCAGUCAAGUCGUCUGCCCUCCAGGCUCUUGGAGGCGCGCAUCGUGCCCGUGACCUGUGUUUAGGGCCUGUUUAGAAUGUGGAUGAAAAUUUUUUGGGUGUCACAUCGGAUGUGUCGGAAGGAUGUCGGGAAGGGUUUUUAGAAACUAAUAAAAAAACAAAU